GAUGAACGCUAGCGGCAGGCCUAAUACAUGCAAGUCGAGCGGCAAGUCGAGGAGUAAUCUGAGACCUAGAGCGGCGCACGGGUGCGUAACGCGUAUGUAACCUACCCUAUACAGGGGGAUAGCCCGGAGAAAUCUGGAUUAAUACCCCAUGGCACUGCGAAUCAGCAUUGGAUUGCAGUUAAAGAUUUAUCGGUAUAGGAUGGACAUGCGUCUGAUUAGCUAGUUGGCGGUGUAACGGACCACCAAGGCGACGAUCAGUAGGGGUUCUGAGAGGAAGGUCCCCCA
This 285-nucleotide ribosomal RNA is filed under the name uncultured Bacteroidota bacterium. Its description in RNAcentral is "uncultured Bacteroidetes bacterium partial 16S ribosomal RNA". It matches the Rfam family "Bacterial small subunit ribosomal RNA", at positions 28 to 310 of the family's 1533-position model. The record is from RNAcentral. Lineage: Bacteria; Pseudomonadati; Bacteroidota.